CGGAACAUAGUUUAACGAGAACGUCGGCUUUGGGGGUCGGUGGUGGGGGUUUAAUUCCCCUUGUUUCGA
Molecule: transfer RNA, 69 nt
Filed under: Bombina lichuanensis (Lichuan bell toad)
Lineage: Eukaryota; Metazoa; Chordata; Amphibia; Anura; Bombinatoridae
Description: tRNA-Pro
Rfam family: tRNA
About the family: Transfer RNA (tRNA) molecules are approximately 80 nucleotides in length. Their secondary structure includes four short double-helical elements and three loops (D, anti-codon, and T loops).
Source: RNAcentral